AUAUAUGUGCAAACCAAAGGGUACCCACCUUUACCAAGUAGAUAUAAGUGAACCACCUAGAAUGACUAUAUUAAUGAAAAUCAAGGUGGACGCUACACAGCUAGGUGACACAAAUAGAAUUUCCAAGUCACUAAAAUGAGGUGCAUAUACAAAACCAAAAGAAUAUGCAUAUACCUAAGAAACACUACAACUUUGAAGCAUUAUCAAGAAGCACAAAACUGUUCAAGCCAAGGUUUUCAAAACUGAUACUGGAAACUAUUACGGUCGGCUGACGGUACAAAUUGGUACGGCCCCAUACCAGAUCGGAUCGACGUGAAUAGACAAAGGGAGGAAGGGAUGAAUCGGGGAUGAGGAAAAGAGAGAAACAGAGGAAAAGAGAGGAAGAGAAAGAGAGAGGGGAG
RNAcentral lists this long non-coding RNA (401 nucleotides) under Elaeis guineensis (African oil palm). Its description in RNAcentral is "long non-coding RNA (EGUI_LNC075604)". Lineage: Eukaryota; Viridiplantae; Streptophyta; Magnoliopsida; Arecales; Arecaceae. The record is from RNAcentral.